AUGCCAUCUCUUCUCGAGAAAAAUGCAACAUCAGUUGAUGUAGAGGCCUGGGCGCACCCCUUUUUCGAAAAAGAAAAGAAAAAUGCACCCCAAGUGGUCGACACUGGCACAACAAUAUCAAUAAGGCUGCUGUCGGGUAAACUACCUGUGAAACGACAAGGUCAAAAAGAAGUGAUCGCAUUGCCUCUUUUUGCGGUUUUUCUUAUCAAUAUGAAGACCAACAAUCGUAUACAUGAUGCACUGGAACUGAAAGCCGGCAUCCUUAGCCAUUGGGGCAGUAGCCUCGUAGAGAGGAUUGCAGAGUAUGCUUCAACUGUCAGCCAGGAUCGCAAUUCAUUGUUGCCAGAGGUACCUUCAGGGUUAGCGUCACAUAAGGCGCUGGAUGGCCUUGAAAAAUUCAAGCUCAACACCUCACAGCAGAAGGCGGUACUUGAUUGUGUUUCAGCAAUGGAUCAAGCUAGGUGCUGGGUGCGCCUUAUCUGGGGACCACCUGGAACAGGGAAAACCAAGGCCAUCAUAUCUCUCUUGUGGUCAAUGCUGAUGAAAAACCACAGGACACUAGCUUGCGCUCCGACCAACACGGCGGUUGUGGAGGAUGUUCGAUCGGAGCGUAGGGGUGAUAUUUUGCGGCUGCAAGGGGUGGGGGAUGCUGAACUAGAGAGGAGGAGGAAGGUGACAUUCAACGAAUUCUUCAUAGACAAUUACGAAUGUCAUGAGGAAGCACUGCGCCACUGCUUCGAGACUCUCCACAAUGAUCUGCCCCUAUCCGCUAGGAGAUUUGAUUACCUGGAUGAGACCCUGCGCUCGCUCGAAGCUUUCGGGAAACUUCUCCGGUCCGAGCCGGAGCGCCCGCUUGGGAAACUCUUCUUCAAAAACGGGGGGUGGCCAGAGUUCCAAGAAGCAAGAGCAUUGUGUCUUAACAAGCUAGAACACUUGCCCGAUUGGUUUGAUUUGCUUCCAAGCGAUUCAAGCAAAAUUGAAGACUACGUACUGAACAAUGCCACGAUCAUACUUUGCACUGCUGCUAGCUCAUUUAAUCUGCGCCGCGUCCGUGAUUUCCAGCCGUUUGAGCUCCUUGUUAUCGAUGAGGCGGCGCAGCUCAAGGAGUGCGAGUCGCUGAUACCUCUACAGCUUGGUAUCCACCGUGCUGUUCUUAUCGGUGAUGAAUGCCAGCUACCAGCGCUUGUCAAAAGCAAGCUCAGCGCUGAGGCUGGCUUUGGAAGAAGUCUGUUCGAGAGGCUGUGCUUGCUAGGACACCCGAAGCACCUCCUCGAUGUGCAGUACAGGAUGCACCCAGAAAUAAGCAAGUUCCCCAUCUCAAGUUUUUACUGUAGGAAGGUGACAGAUGGCCCCAACGUCCUUCACAGAGACUACGAGAGGAAGCUCCUGGACGGCCCAAUGUAUGGCCCCUACUCCUUCAUCAACAUCCAAGGUGGGAUCGAAAGCUCGGGCAUGCAUGGCACGAGCCUGAGCAACGCUGCUGAGGUCGCUGCGGUGACCCGGAUUGUGCAGAGAUUGUCCCAAGUUGACAUAAGAAGCAAGCUCAGCGUGGGCGUGGUAUCGCCAUACAAGGCCCAAGUCCGUGCCAUCCAGGAGAGCCUUGCUUUGGAGCACGACAAGUAUGGCGGUUUAUCCGUAAAGAUCCGAACCGUGGACGGGUUCCAGGGUGCCGAGGAGGAUGUUGUCAUCUUCUCCGCCGUGCGGGCCAAUACCCAUGGAUCGGUCGGGUUCCUCUCCGAUCAGAGGCGUACCAAUGUGGCACAAACACGGGCCAAGCAUUGCUUCUGGAUUCUUGGUGAUGCGGCUACGUUGUCGAGCAGCAGGACAAUCUGGCAGAAGAUAGUGGCCGAUGCAAAGGAAAGAGGAUGCUUCUAUGAUGGCAACGACGACAAAGACCUCUGUUCUGUGGUGAGCGUCGCGAUCAAGAAGGAUGAAGUCAACCGUCUGCUCAAGAUGGUGGAUGCUCGUCUUGGUAUAUGCAGCUCAUAA
This 1989-nucleotide ribosomal RNA is filed under the name Triticum aestivum (bread wheat). RNAcentral's name for it is "partial small subunit ribosomal RNA". The record is from RNAcentral. Lineage: Eukaryota; Viridiplantae; Streptophyta; Magnoliopsida; Poales; Poaceae.